RNAcentral lists this ribosomal RNA (252 nucleotides) under uncultured prokaryote. RNAcentral's name for it is "partial 16S ribosomal RNA". It matches the Rfam family "Bacterial small subunit ribosomal RNA", at positions 524 to 775 of the family's 1533-position model. The record is from RNAcentral.
UACGGAGGAUGCAAGCGUUAUCCGGAUUUAUUGGGUUUAAAGGGUGCGCAGGUUGGUUGAUAAGUCAGUGGUGAAAGUCUGUCGCUUAACGGUAGGAUUGCCAUUGAUACUGUUGGACUUGAAUAUGGAUGAGGUAGGCGGAAUGUGUAGUGUAGCGGUGAAAUGCAUAGAUAUUACACAGAACACCGAUUGCGAAGGCAGCUUACUAAUCCAUCAUUGACGCUGAGGCACGAAAGCGUGGGGAGUCAAACA